CAUAUUUCAGCUCUUUCGGCCCUUACGGAUCAAAGAUGGGCCUUGAACACGGACGUGAUCAGAUUUAUGGCAGCAGUUUUGAAAAUCAAGCCUCCUAUCAAGCCCUUCGCUCCACCAUGGGAUCUUCCCUUGGUGGCCUUAGCCUCAGGUAGACGAGUGUCUGAACUCCAUGCCUUAUCAACUAAAGAGCCCUUUACAGUUUUUCAUAAGGACAGAGUUAUUUUACGGACUGUUCCCGAAUUUCGUCCUAAAGUGGUGUCAGCU
Molecule: non-coding RNA, 264 nt
Organism: Pelobates cultripes (western spadefoot toad)
Lineage: Eukaryota; Metazoa; Chordata; Amphibia; Anura; Pelobatidae
Source: the annotation of a GenBank genome assembly